This 549-nucleotide unclassified non-coding RNA is filed under the name uncultured Chrysozymaceae. RNAcentral's name for it is "sequence contains ITS1, 5.8S rRNA gene, ITS2". The stretch from base 176 to 329 matches the Rfam family "5.8S ribosomal RNA". Lineage: Eukaryota; Fungi; Basidiomycota; Microbotryomycetes. The record is from RNAcentral.
GUGAAUUUUAGGGCGCUCUUCUCGCUUUUAACAAGCUUGAGAGGCCUGACCUCCACUCUCCAACUCUGUGCACCUUUCGGCAUUGAAGAAACGGACGCUGGAAACGGCUGAAGUUGACUCGAUGCGGCUCUUUUUAAACAUGAGUUAAAGAAUGUAAACAAAACAUAACAAAAAAAACUUUCAACAACGGAUCUCUUGGCUCUCGCAUCGAUGAAGAACGCAGCGAAAUGUGAUAAGUAAUGUGAAUUGCAGAAUUCAGUGAAUCAUCGAAUCUUUGAACGCACCUUGCGCUCUCUGGUAUUCCGGAGAGCAUGCCUGUUUGAGUGUCAUGAACUCUUCAACCCACCGGUUCCUUGUUGGACCGUGUGGUGUUUGGAUUUUGAGCGCUUGCUAGUCGAAAGACUUUAGCUCGCUCGUAAUACAUUAGCAUCUCAAUUUCGUAAUCGGAUUGACUCAGCGUAAUAGACUAUUCGCUGAGGACACGGGGGCAACCUUGUGGCCGAACAUGAAUGAGUAUGGAAGCUUCCAACCCCUCUAGUCACCUUUAGA